RNAcentral lists this ribosomal RNA (407 nucleotides) under Verrucomicrobiota bacterium. RNAcentral describes it as "Verrucomicrobia bacterium partial 16S ribosomal RNA". It matches the Rfam family "Bacterial small subunit ribosomal RNA", at positions 355 to 776 of the family's 1533-position model. The record is from RNAcentral. Lineage: Bacteria; Pseudomonadati; Verrucomicrobiota.
UGGGGAAUAUUGGACAAUGGAGGAAACUCUGAUCCAGCACUUCUGUGUGUGUGAAGAAGGUUUUAGGACUGUAAAACACUUUUAGUAGGGAAGAAAAAAAUGACGGUACCUACAGAAGAAGCAACGGCUAAAUACGUGCCAGCAGCCGCGGUAAUACGUAUGUUGCGAGCGUUAUCCGGAAUUAUUGGGCUUAAAGGGCAUCUAGGCGGUAAGACAAGUUGAAGGUGAAAACCUGUGGCUCAACCAUAGGCUUGCCUACAAAACUGUUGAACUAGAGUACUGGAAAGGUGUGUGGAACUACACGAGUAGAGGUGAAAUUCGUAGAUAUGUGUAGGAAUGCCGAUGAUGAAGAUAACUCACUGGACAGAAACUGACGCUGAAGUGCGAAAGCUAGGGGAGCAAACAGG